This 508-nucleotide unclassified non-coding RNA is filed under the name Hevea brasiliensis (rubber tree). The record is from RNAcentral. Lineage: Eukaryota; Viridiplantae; Streptophyta; Magnoliopsida; Malpighiales; Euphorbiaceae.
GUUUACAUAACUUGAACAAGAAAUAAAAAUCAGAUUAGUGAUUAGUGAGCCACUUAAAACUAAGUGGAAAUACAAACUGAAAACCCCCUUUGAGUCCCAAAGGGAGGUGCGGUAUACAUAAGUUUUGUUAGUCUUCGGGUAGGCCAAAUCAACAUUAUGAGAAGGUCUGCAAGCUAAUGGUCUAUGCCACUUUGGUGCCAAAGCAACACCAAUCACUAUGGAGGUAGAUUCGAUGUAAGCAGAUCAUUCCAAAGCACCACCCAAUUAGCCUUCUUUCUCUUCCCAAGCACAAGAAACUAUCUAGGGCAAUUAGGGAAGAAUUAAUGAAAGAGAGGACAAUGCCCUCGCUAAAAUGUAUAAAACCCAUAUGAAAACUAAAGGAACAAAAGGAAGAAAGAUAAAGGAAAAUGAAAAAGAAGUAGAAGAUGAAAGAUGUCAUGCAAAAAGAAGAAAAAUAAGGUGAAAAGAAAGGAGUAAAAAGUAGGAGAGGGAGGGAGAGAGGGGGCUG